AACGUAGGAGGCGAGCGUUAUCCGGAUUUACUGGGCGUAAAGCGCAUGCAGGCGGUUUUUUAAGUCGGACGUGAAAGCUCUCGGCUCAACUGAGAGAGGCCGUUCGAAACUAGAAAACUUGAGGAUGGUAGAGGAGAGUGGAAUUCCCGGUGUAGUGGUGAAAUGCGUAGAUAUCGGGAGGAACACCAGUGGCGAAGGCGGCUCUCUGGGCCAUUCCUGACGCUCAGAUGCGAAAGCUAGGGGAGAGAACGGG
Molecule: unclassified non-coding RNA, 253 nt
Filed under: uncultured Anaerolineae bacterium
Lineage: Bacteria; Bacillati; Chloroflexota; Anaerolineae
Description: contains 16S-23S intergenic spacer region
Rfam family: Bacterial small subunit ribosomal RNA
Source: RNAcentral